AAAGCAAUGCAGAUACAUGUGCCGCCGACAAAAAGGCGUCACCAACAAACACAGGUAACAGCUGAACGCAUGCAAACCAUUUCCGUGUAGCACAAACAGUCUGAUGUACGCAUUCGUCAAGAAAAGUCGUGCGCAGUAACAAGAAAAAAAAUUUAAAAGUGCAAAAAUAUAAAAUAAAAUUACCAAGGAAGAAAUUCAAUAUUUUGCAAUGGUAAUGGCAAUUAGUUCUCAUCCCUGCUGCUUAGAAUAGCCCAAACAACCAGCGGUCAUGUCCUGAAAUUUUAGCAAGCAUUGGAAAUAAAACAAACUAAAAAUUAUUGAGGCCACCGUAGCGCAGAGGUUAGCAUGCCCGCCUAUGACGCUGAACGCCUGGGUUCGAAGCCUGGCGAGACCAUCAGAAAAAUUUUUCAACGGUGAUUUUCCCCUCCUAAUGCUGGCAACAUUUGUGAGGUACUAUGCCAUGUAAAACUUCUUUUCAAAGAGGUGUCGCACUGCGGCACGCCGUUCGGACUCGGCUAUAAAAAGGAGGUCCCUUAUCAUUGAGCUUAAACUUGAAUCGGACUGCACUCAUUGAUAUGUCAGAAGUUUGCCCCUGUUCCUUAGUGGAAUGAUCAUGGGCAAAAUUUGCAAUUUGCAAAAAUUAUUCUGGUCUCUAACUUUGUUUAAAGGAACUUUUAAAAUUGAAAUGCGAAAUACUAUUUAUGCAGCAUGGAAUAUUUUAACGCAAAGGAUUUAUACUACUAAUUACACAUGGACGUACAGCUGUCAUGACUAUAAAAUAUUGUAGAUGGCACUUCUGGAGAAAAUUUGAUGCUUAACCCUAUGCGACUUAUUUUGCAGCAGC
Molecule: long non-coding RNA, 844 nt
Organism: Stomoxys calcitrans (stable fly)
Lineage: Eukaryota; Metazoa; Arthropoda; Insecta; Diptera; Muscidae
Exons: 3
Source: RefSeq, a predicted model, not a curated record